GCGUCUCUUUGCUGAGCUACCUGUGAUUCUCAUCAAUCACAUUUUGCAGACGACAACGGUUGAAGCUGGCGCAUCAGCAGGCGGCACCAAGAGAGACGCAGAUCUGGUCUCACCAAGCGAUCCUGGAGGAGCGGAGGGCGGAGUUCUUGGUGUGCUUGUUGGCGGGCUUGCUCUAAGCUCGACUGAUGGAUGAAGAGGACGAAAAUCAUGGACCCGAAGGUGGAAGGCAGAUGGGAGGAGAAGAUCCGUUCGAUGGUGUUGAGUGGUCAUCAGAAGCUUCAGAGGAUCAGCCAGUGUUGACUUCACGGCUAUCAGUCAAGCAUGUUGUCGAGGUUAUCCAAAAGUUUGACGAUUACAAGAGGUGGCUUGUAUCCGAGAUUGGUUUUGAGGGGAUGCUGAAACUGCCAUUGUUGCAAAAGAUAGAUCUGAGGAUGAGUGCGUGGGUUAUGAGGAAGGUGGAGGUGAAAUCGCGUGUAAUUUCUAUUGAUAAAGACCGUUUGAUUUUGUUCACAGCAGAGGAUUUUCAUAAAAAAAUGGUGUUCCUUGUGGCAAUCGGGCUAUUCGUGGAAGGGAUGGUGAAAUCAGGUGUGCAGGAAUAGAGUUUAUUAAGCAGACAAUUGGAAUGAAUGGAUCAGCUGCUAAUAAUCUUAAGGUUGCAGAAGACUUCACAAACAGGGAUAUUUCAGAAGAGUCGAGCAAGCUUGAGAAGGAUUGUUUUCAGAUAUCGUUUGUUAUUUUUGUCAUCGGCUACCUUUUGUCACCUGGCAUGAAGCAUGAGUACAAGAUGAUAGACUUUUAGGGUGCUGUGGCGAAUCAAGAGUUGAUAUCACAAUUCAAUUGGUGUGAGUACGCUCUUCAGGAUCUGAUGGCAGCUGUGAUGAAGUUGAAGGUGGAGUAUAAGAACAAGGCGCAGAUAGUUCACUUAUUUGGAUGCCAUCUAUUCUUCCAGGUUUUCUUGCUGGACAACAUUGAUCCGGGGAUUUUCAACAUGGUGCAUACUGUAUUCCCUCGUAUUCAGUGUUUUGAUCAGAAAAGACUUAGGGAAAUGAUAGUGAUGGCGCGUUGUGAUCAGCGUGGUGUCGUAACUUAUGUCCCUGGAGCGGUGCGUCCUACAGAUUCGGUGUGUUAUACGCGUGUAGUUCUGGGGAGCCCACCAUGUGGAGUUGCUACAUCAAUUCCAUCAUCAUCGAAGCGACCAGUUGUUGGGUCCUUCGAGACACCAAAACGUGAAGCAAUGGUGGGCGGUGUAAGCGCCAACAAAAGCCCAGCAACUUCCCUGGGUGAUCCUAUGGAGAAUCGGUUUGUUGGUCUGAGUGAUUUCAGCAAGCAUCUUCCUCAGAUUUGCAAAGAUGAUUCGGUCUUGGAGGAGUUGAGCCUUAUGCUGAAACAACACAAUGUGAAGUGUACACUGAGUACGACAUUGCUGCGUAACCAAUUGCAGUCUGAUAUGUUUUGCUUUGCUGAGAAAAUGGUUGCAUUUGUGAAGGACCAAUGUAGAUGCUGUGCAAAAAAAGGGUUGUCCAAGUGUAUUACAAUUUGUGAAACUGGUAUUGCUCAAUGAUGUCUUCUUUCAGAUGUCAAUUUAUGUUGUGAUAAAACAAUAGAAGCUAUGUUUUCUGUUUGCUGUGUGGCGAAUGCUAGUUUUGUUGUAUAUAUGUAUAUCAGAGCAGGUGGCGAUCGUCGGAGAGGAGUGAGUGAAGUGGGACGCAGGCUCGAGAUGUUUGAUGAUGAAGGUGCCAGCAAUGCGAAUGAUGAGGCUAAUGAGCAAAGAAUAAAAAGGAGCCGAAAUGUUAUAAACGAAAGCAGAAUGGACUUGCGAUAUAUGCACAAAAUAUCGUCGAGAUGGUUCAAUCCCUUCAUGAAAAUGAGUCACAGGAGGCAAAUGUUGUUUAUUUUAGUUCAACUGAAGCAAAGCUACCAAAGCGUAGGUAUGUUGCAUCUGCAAGUUUUUGCGGUGAUCCAUGGACACGGGGGUGUCUCCCGCAGCCGCCUCCAAUAGCAUUGACGAGCAAGUUCAAUUCAUGGAUAGCUGGAGGGAAUGAUUUUGACCGGGACAGUGUAUGGUUCCUGCACAUGGUUCCGAGACUUGUGAGGGUAAAUGCUGGAUGUGUCCAGCAGCAGAUGUUGGGGAUGAAUGCUCUUGAUCAUGAGGUCGUUACUCUUGUGUUGCGGAGGUUUUAUCAGCUUGACACUGCCGUGGAAGGAGCAAGCCCUUAGAUGUUGUGGAGGGAAGUUCUUGCGCCAGAUUUCUCGACACAUGUUCUUGCAGGGGAGAAAGUCCUGCAUAUCAAGGCUGUUCAGUGUCAGCUUGCAAACACGGUGCACGAUAUCACGGCUUGUAGGACGUUUUUUGUCCUUGUUAUUCUUGAUCAAGGUUGGGCUGCAUAUAUGUGGGACAUGCUGAGGAAGGAGAUUCAUGUCCUUGAUCCUAUGUGCCGCGAAGUUGAAGGUGCGGAGCAACGCCAUAUGAUGCAUCAGGAGGCAGUAUCGCAGAUUCACAAUGUAUUGUUCUGCUACUUGAAUGAGUUUUUUGCAAAGUGGCAUUGCACAUCUGAAAGAUGGAGACGGAAGUUUCCGAGGAUUACUGCUGAUGUUUUCAACAGGGAGGAGUCUAGAAUUUGUAUGACCCAUGCAAUCAGGCAGUAUGAUGGGGACAAGAUGAAGUGGCCACUCACCAAGGUAAAUCUAUUUUCUGCUUUUUUGUCAUUAUUUGGAAAAAUGUAUUUGUUUUCUAUGUUUCAGUAGUUAGAUGCUCGACUGCUGGUUGACCGUGAGAAAUGCAGAAAAAUAUUGCAAUCUUUCGGAAGUUGGUUGCAUUUGAGGUCUUCCGUUUAUGUGAUGACCAUGGGAAGUUCAUUGUGGAGAGUGUUCUGCGCGUCGCAUUUGAUGAACCUGAGGGGUGAUGCAUAUGAAAUGGAUGUAUGGUCCGGAUGCUUUUUAGCAGCAUGCGAGGGGGUCGACUAAGUUGACAUGGGGAGUGAAGAAAAUGUGAGGACUUGCUGAAAUAAUGUAUCCAUUUAUGUAUGGCAGUUAUGAUGCAUGUCGUAUUAAGUACUAAGAUCGGAACUUUUUUAUAAUGCCUUGUUAGAAUCGGGCACCUCAACAGAUGCUUAAAUGUUAUGGGAAAAUGGAUUGAAAUUGCAAGGCUAACACAAUCGGAAUGGUGAUGGUUUAUAUUUGUGGUAGGAGUGGUUCCUUAUUUCUCGUGGCCUCAUUGUUAGUGUUGAAAUGAUUUUUUUCGAGAUUAUCCGGUGUGGGUACAUAUGGUGAUGGAAUUUCGAAGGUAUAGUGUGAGCGUUGGUUGACAGUGGUAGCAAGAGUUGCAUUAGGUGAGAUGGAGGUGCAUGGCGCCCCUCAUCAUUUUGAUGAUGGAAAAUCAUUUUUUGUUCGUAAUUAUUGUAGUGAGUGAGACAAAUUAACUAUUUCAGAAAGUGAGACAAAUUUAUUGGAAGUGAGUGUUAAAUGCUUAC
This is a long non-coding RNA of Triticum dicoccoides, 3470 nucleotides long. RefSeq lists it as uncharacterized. The transcript is spliced from 11 exons. NCBI's taxonomy places the organism in Eukaryota, Viridiplantae, Streptophyta, Magnoliopsida, Poales, Poaceae. The record is from RefSeq and is a predicted model, not a curated record.